GGAGCGUUAGCUCAGCUGGUUCAGAGCACUACCUUGACAGGGUAGGGGUCACUGGUUCGAACCCAGUACGCUUCA
This 75-nucleotide transfer RNA is filed under the name Hymenobacteraceae bacterium. It matches the Rfam family "tRNA". From Rfam's summary of the family: Transfer RNA (tRNA) molecules are approximately 80 nucleotides in length. The record is from Rfam by way of RNAcentral. Lineage: Bacteria; Pseudomonadati; Bacteroidota; Cytophagia; Cytophagales; Hymenobacteraceae.